AAAAUUUGAAAAAUUUGUUUUAAAAAAAACCCAAAAAGAGUUGUUUUUGUGUGUUUGUUUGUGUCUUAGGGUACCUUCCAACACAAUGAUGAGGAUUUGGUUUUUAAGUGCAUGACUGUUAAAGAGAGUGAUUAACAUGGAUGAAAGUUUGAUUUACUCUUUGUUUAUGCUUGGUUGUGGUUAUAACUUAUGAAUUCACAUGCAAUCAUAAAAGAAAAAAAAUCAGUUUUUGUAACAUGCUUGAAGGAAGGAACUCAAACUAACGCUACAACCUUGUGAGACUUGAGCCUAAACGUUUAUUUGGAGAGUUAAAAUCUGUGCAUUCUUUGUUUUCUAAGUCGUUGCAUGAUCUCAUUCUUCCUUGCUCGGUUACUAUUUAGAAGGCGUUUCAUCAUUUAGUUCCAAAUGCUAGAACUCAUGCCCAUUUCAUUCAAAGCAUGUUAUUGAUUUGCAUAAUGAUUUGCAUAACACAUAUUCAAGAUAAAGUUGUGUAGUGACCACCACCUUAGCCAAAAAGCCAUGAAUCCCCUAUGUCAUUAUGUUUUGUAGGUUUUAACCCCAUUGAGCCUUGUUUAGCCUUUUCUUUGUUAACCCACAUUAACCUCACCUAGCCUAGUUUAGGACCAUCUAUACCCUUGUUCUUAAAGCCUAGUAAUGCAUGAUUCGAAUUGAAUUCCUUUUGAUUUAUGUUGGCAGAAAACAAGUGUGGGGGAAGUAUUUCUUUUGGUGAUUUUGUGUGCCAUAGGCACGUGUGGAAAGAAAAGAAAAAAAAAAAAAAAAUUCGGGGAAAAAGAAAAAAUGAAGAAAAAAGUGUGAAAAGUAUGAAAAAAGAGUUGAAAAGAUGUGAAAAAGAGUUUCAAAGUAUUGUUUGUUGAAGUAAGGGUCCAAAAGCAAUGAAUUCGGCCCUAAAGAGUUAUCUAAAUCUUUCCCUUGUGUUUUAAAGUUAAUUUCUGCAAUCUAAGUGAAUUUUAAGCCUCAAUUUCACUACUUUGCUUACUAAUGCUUGAAGAACGUUUGUUUUCCCUAUCCUUUCUUUGUUAACCAAUACCCCAAGCCCCGUUACAACCCUUAACUUCUAUCUUGAGUGUUAUGUGUUUCAAUCUGUGGAGUUUGAAUUUGGUAUGAGCAUAUGGUGUCACUGGUUCUCGCAUCUAAGUAGUAGCAUUCCAUUCAUGAGAUCAUAUCUAAACAUGCUUCUUAACUCUAGAAAUUGCGUUCUUUGUGAAACAUAUAUGUGAGCAUUCGUUUUCAUAUCUACAUCAAUCUUCUCACAUAUAACUAGUGUAGGGUGUGGAGUUAGAAAAUCUGAGUGAAAAUAGAGUGUAUAUCUUGUAAGGAAUUGAGGGAAUUCUCUAAGGCAUGUUACUACAUUCAAAGCAUUGUUUUAAUUGAUUACUUGUGAACUAGUAAGUGGUGGCUUUAAUUAAGUAUGUGCUUGUGUAAAGAUGACUCAAAUCUGUGGGGAUAGCAAUCUUUAACAUGUCAUGUGCAUUGGAAAUCCCUGAGGCAAACGUUGGAAGGUUUAGGUUUUGUUUUGGUUAGUUUGUUUCGUUUUGUUUUCUUUCUUUUGUUUGUUUUGCUCGAGGACUAGCAAAAGCUAAGUGUGGGGGAAUUUGAUAGGAGCAUAUUUAUGCGCCUUAGUUAGCUAGUUCUUAUGCAUCUUUGUUAUGUUUUCUUCGUUAAAGUAGUCUUUUAAGCUACUUUCAUGUGUUUUCAGGUUUAAAGGACAUAUUACAUGAAAUGAUGCAAGUUGGAGCUUUUGGAGCAAAAUAUGAGCUUGGAUUGAAAAGGACAUGCUUGGAACACAAGGUUGGGAUGGAAUUGAAAAAGUUGAAGAUUUGAGGUUUCCUACUUCAAGUAGGAAAGCUAAGCCUAAAAGUUUCCAUUUUGGGUUGAUCUUUCCUAAAUCGGAAUUGGCAACCAAAGUUUCUAAAAGUUGGAAGUUUCUAUUCUUGGAGGUUUCCAUUUUCGUGAGUUUCUAUUCUUGGCUUUGGGCUUUUGGAUGACCCAUCCUUACUUCUUGGACCUAUGUCGCACCUAAACCCUAACCCUAGCCACCUAAUCAGCCGCACCUAGGCCUUGUUCACAUGCAAUAAUCUGAUUAUAAACCCUAAGCCCAUGCCGCACCUUUCCACCUAGAAGCCCUAUUUUACAAACCCUAAACCCUAGUCCACUUAAGUGCCGCACCUAACCCUAGCCCAUUGUUAAAAAUCUGAUUUCAUUAGGGUUUCUAAGUGCCUAUAUAUACCCCCCUCUCCACAAAAUCAGAAAAUCAUCUCUCCUUC
RNAcentral lists this long non-coding RNA (2285 nucleotides) under Malus domestica (apple). RNAcentral describes it as "long non-coding RNA (MDOM_LNC009205)". The record is from RNAcentral. Lineage: Eukaryota; Viridiplantae; Streptophyta; Magnoliopsida; Rosales; Rosaceae.